Molecule: transfer RNA, 73 nt
Filed under: Crotaphatrema lamottei
Lineage: Eukaryota; Metazoa; Chordata; Amphibia; Gymnophiona; Scolecomorphidae
Description: tRNA-Asn
Rfam family: tRNA
About the family: Transfer RNA (tRNA) molecules are approximately 80 nucleotides in length.
Source: RNAcentral
UAGGUUGAAGCUUGUAGUUUAAAGCGUUUGAUUGUUAAUUAAGAGAUAGUGGGAUAGAGGCCCAUCUGCCUAG